Molecule: ribosomal RNA, 501 nt
Filed under: uncultured bacterium
Lineage: Bacteria
Description: partial 16S ribosomal RNA
Rfam family: Bacterial small subunit ribosomal RNA
Source: RNAcentral
AUUGAACGCUGGCGGCAGGCUUAACACAUGCAAGUCGAGCGGAGCGAGGGUGCUUGCACCUUAGCUUAGCGGCGGACGGGUGAGUAAUGCUUAGGAAUCUGCCUAUUAGUGGGGGACAACAUUCCGAAAGGGAUGCUAAUACCGCAUACGCCCUACGGGGGAAAGCAGGGGAUCUUCGGACCUUGCGCUAAUAGAUGAGCCUAAGUCGGAUUAGCUAGUUGGUGGGGUAAAGGCCUACCAAGGCGACGAUCUGUAGCGGGUCUGAGAGGAUGAUCCGCCACACUGGGACUGAGACACGGCCCAGACUCCUACGGGAGGCAGCAGUGGGGAAUAUUGGACAAUGGGCGGAAGCCUGAUCCAGUCAUGCCGCGUGUGUGAAGAAGGCCUUUUGGUUGUAAAGCACUUUAAGCGAGGAGGAGGCUACUAGUAUUAAUACUACUGGGUAGUGGACGUUACUCGCAGAAUAAGCACCGGCUAACUCUGUGCCAGCAGCCACGGUAA